GCCCAAAAGAUGGUGAACAGUGUGUGGCUCUGUAAAAGGUGAACAGUGGAAGCCAGGUACUUUUUGAAAAAGACAGGUGAACAGUGCUGAAUAGGAGUCCUGAGUAUUAAAAUCGGAUGAGCAGUGCCGUACCACGGGGACGUCCGUAUGAUUAAACAGUGCUCGAAACAGUAACAGAGCGCUUCUAGAAUUCACUACACCACAACCUCAGAACAACGUUGGACGGUCCGUCGGUAUAAGACGUUUUACCGUCAGACAGGCCAUCGAUGUAGAGAUAUACCGUCAGAUCAAGUUAGUCGCUAUAAGCCCUGUCGGUAAAAAGUUUUACCGACAAACUACCCUUUCAACGACAGACAGUCUGACGGAGAGAAAAUCACCGACAGACAGUCCGAUGGAGAGAAAAUCACCGACAGACAGUGUGUUACCAGUUAUGCCGACACACCGUGCGAUGUUAUAAAUAUAUUUACCGACAGAUUGUCCAAC
This 483-nucleotide long non-coding RNA is filed under the name Sorghum bicolor (sorghum). Its description in RNAcentral is "long non-coding RNA (SBIC_LNC009991)". The record is from RNAcentral. Lineage: Eukaryota; Viridiplantae; Streptophyta; Magnoliopsida; Poales; Poaceae.